Molecule: ribosomal RNA, 766 nt
Filed under: uncultured Russula
Lineage: Eukaryota; Fungi; Basidiomycota; Agaricomycetes; Russulales; Russulaceae
Description: partial 28S ribosomal RNA
Rfam family: Eukaryotic large subunit ribosomal RNA
Source: RNAcentral
GAAUCCCGUCUUUGGCACGGACCCCCAGGGCUUUUGUGAUGCGCUCUCGAAGAGUCGAGUUGUUUGGGAAUGCAGCUCAAAAUGGGUGGUGAACUCCAUCUAAAGCUAAAUAUUGGCGAGAGACCGAUAGCGAACAAGUACCGUGAGGGAAAGAUGAAAAGCACUUUGGAAAGAGAGUGAAACAGUACGUGAAAUUGUUGAAAGGGAAACGCUUGAAGUCAGUCGCGUCGGCCGAGACUCAGCCUUGCCUCGGCUUGGUGUACUUCUUGACCGACGGGUCAGCAUCAAUUUUGCCCCUUGGAUAAUGGCGAGGGAAAUGUGACACCUUUAUAGGUGUGUUAUAGUCUCUCGUCGCAUGCAAGGGUCGGGAUUGAGGAACUCAGCACGCGCCUUCGGGCGUCGGGGCCUUGCCCACGAUACGUGCUUAGGAUGUUGGCGUAAUGGCUUUAAACGACCCGUCUUGAAACACGGACCAAGGAGUCUAACAUGCCCGCGAGUGUUCGGGUGGAAAACCCGUGCGCGCAAUGAAAGUGAAAGUUGGGACCUCUGUCGCGGAGGGCACCGACGCCCGGACCAGAGCUUCUGCGACGGAUCUGCGGUGGAGCGUGUAUGUUAGGACCCGAAAGAUGGUGAACUAUGCCUGAAUAGGGUGAAGCCAGAGGAAACUCUGGUGGAGGCUCGUAGCGAUUCUGACGUGCAAAUCGAUCGUCAAAUUUGGGUAUAGGGGCGAAAGACUAAUCGAACCAUCUAGUAGCUGGUUCCUGCC